UACGGAAGAUCCAAGCGUUAUCCGGAAUUACUGGGCGUAAAGAGUUGCGUAGGUGGCAGGUAAAGCGAACAGUGAAAGGUCCCGGCUCAACCGGGGAUACAUUGUUCGAACUCACCAGCUAGAGCAUGAGAGAGGUAGAUGGAAUUUCUAGUGUAGGAGUGAAAUCCGUAGAUAUUAGAAGGAACACCGAUGGCGUAGGCAGUCUACUGGCUCAUUGCUGACACUAAGGCACGAAAGCGUGGGGAGCGAACGGG
This 254-nucleotide ribosomal RNA is filed under the name uncultured bacterium. Its description in RNAcentral is "partial 16S ribosomal RNA". It matches the Rfam family "Bacterial small subunit ribosomal RNA", at positions 524 to 776 of the family's 1533-position model. The record is from RNAcentral.